This 232-nucleotide ribosomal RNA is filed under the name uncultured bacterium. RNAcentral's name for it is "partial 16S ribosomal RNA". It matches the Rfam family "Bacterial small subunit ribosomal RNA", at positions 99 to 334 of the family's 1533-position model. The record is from RNAcentral.
CGGACGGGUGAGUAAUGUCUGGGAAACUGCCCGAUGGAGGGGGAUAACUGCUGGAAACGGUAGCUAAUACCGCAUAACGUCGCAAGACCAAAGAGGGGGACCUUAGGGCCUCUUGCCAUCGGAUGUGCCCAGAUGGGAUUAGCUAGUAGGUGGGGUAAUGGCUCACCUAGGCGACGAUCCCUAGCUGGUCUGAGAGGAUGACCAGCCACACUGGAACUGAGACACGGUCCAG